RNAcentral lists this long non-coding RNA (793 nucleotides) under Bos taurus (domestic cattle). RNAcentral describes it as "long non-coding RNA NONBTAT007414". Lineage: Eukaryota; Metazoa; Chordata; Mammalia; Artiodactyla; Bovidae. The record is from RNAcentral.
GGUUAGUAAACACACACAGAACUGUUUUUUUCUAUCAUGUGAAUUUAAGGACUUCUAAUAUUUUCCUAAUAAAACUUUUCAAAAAUAUGUAUUUCAUGAGAGUGUCGGGCAAGAAGUAAUACUGUCUUCAAGUGAAACCUGUCUGAAAAUGACAAGUCAUUCAUCUCUUCAUUAACUAAAGACUGCUAAUAACAGAAAAGCAAAAAGCUAUAUACCCUGGAUUUUUUUAGAUGACAAAUUCUGGCACUUUGUGCUAAGGUUUAAGGUAAUUAUCAACUCAUUUUUCCCUACUACAUAGAAAUAUAAUAUUCCCUAGCACACAGAAAUAUAAUAUGCAUAGCAUUUUAACUAUAAAACUAUAACAUGACAAGAAUCCUUUAUUAAGAAAAUGUCCUUAUCACAAAUAUUUCAGAUUAAAAAAAUGGUUUUAAAAGUUGAAGCACAUUAACUUGGAAAAACAAAUUCCAAACUAAACACAAAUGUCAUUUAAGCUCUAGAACCACAAGGGCACACUAAGAAAGUUAAACAAAAAUAAGGAAGGGAGAGGACACAGCAAAAUGAUCUCUUAAGGGUCUUCUGAACCUUUAAGAUACAGCUAGAAUCCUUUGAGUGUCAGGAUAUAUGCUAAUGAUUUUGCUUUCUUUCAGAUGGAAAUGAAUUAAUGUCUUUUACUUUAGACAUAGUAUUUUGAAAUAACUGUUGGUUUGCUGUGUCUUGCCCAUAAAAAUCAUAUGACUAAUACUCCAGCUUCAAAAAAUGAGGCCCAGCAAGCAAAAAUAACGUGUCAUCCAAC